This 254-nucleotide ribosomal RNA is filed under the name uncultured bacterium. Its description in RNAcentral is "partial 16S ribosomal RNA". It matches the Rfam family "Bacterial small subunit ribosomal RNA", at positions 524 to 776 of the family's 1533-position model. The record is from RNAcentral.
UACGGGGGGGGCAAGCGGUUGUUCGGAAUUACUGGGCGUAAAGGGCUCGUAGGCGGCCAACUAAGUCGGAUGUGAAAUCCCCAAGCUUAACUUGGGAACUGCAUCCGAUACUGGAUGGCUUGAAUCCGGGAGAGGGAUGCAGAAUUCCAGGUGUAGCGGUGAAAUGCGUAGAUAUCUGGAGGAAUACCGGUGGUGUAGACGGCUCUCUGGACCGCCACUGACGCUGAGACACGAAAGCGUGGGUAGCAAACAGG